RNAcentral lists this ribosomal RNA (477 nucleotides) under uncultured bacterium. RNAcentral describes it as "bacterial SSU rRNA". It matches the Rfam family "Bacterial small subunit ribosomal RNA", at positions 28 to 517 of the family's 1533-position model. The record is from RNAcentral.
GAUGAACGCUGGCGGCGUGCCUAAUACAUGCAAGUCGAACGAGGUGCUUGAGUAGCAAUACAAGAGUAUCCUAGUGGCGAACGGGUGAGUAACGCGUGGGUGACCUGCCCCGAAGUGUGGGAUAACAGUCCGAAAGGAUUGCUAAUACCUCAUGUGGUUAUCGGAUUUAGAAACUGAUAACUAAAGCAGCAAUGCGCUUUGGGAGGGACCUGCGUCCCAUCAGCUAGUUGGUGAGGUAAUGGCUCACCAAGGCUACGACGGGUAGGGACCUGAGAGGGUGGCCCCCCACAAUGGAACUGAAACACGGUCCAUACACCUACGGGUGGCAGCAGUAGGGAAUAUUGCACAAUGGGCGAAAGCCUGAUGCAGCAAUGCCGCGUGUGCGAUGAAGGCCUUGGGUCGUAAAGCACUUUUCUGAGAGAUGAGAAAGGACAGUAUCUCAGGAAUAAGUCUCGGCUAACUACGUGCCAGCAGACG